AGUGAACGCUGGCGGUAGGCCUAACACAUGCAAGUCGAACGGCAGCACAGUAAGAGCUUGCUCUUACGGGUGGCGAGUGGCGGACGGGUGAGGAAUACAUCGGAAUCUACUUUUUCGUGGGGGAUAACGUAGGGAAACUUACGCUAAUACCGCAUACGACCUACGGGUGAAAGCAGGGGAUCUUCGGACCUUGCGCGAUUGAAUGAGCCGAUGUCGGAUUAGCUAGUUGGCGGGGUAAAGGCCCACCAAGGCGACGAUCCGUAGCUGGUCUGAGAGGAUGAUCAGCCACACUGGAACUGAGACACGGUCCAGACUCCUACGGGAGGAAGCAGUGGGGAAUAUUGGACAAUGGGCGCAAGCCUGAUACAGCCAUACCGCGUGGGUGAAGAAGGACUUCGGGUUGUAAAGCCCUUUUGUUGGGAAAGAAAAGCAGCAGGUUAAUACCCCGCUGUUCUGACGGUACCCAAAGAAUAAGCACCGGCUAACUUCGUG
Molecule: ribosomal RNA, 492 nt
Filed under: uncultured bacterium
Lineage: Bacteria
Description: partial 16S ribosomal RNA
Rfam family: Bacterial small subunit ribosomal RNA
Source: RNAcentral